GACGAACGCUGGCGGCGUGCUUAACACAUGCAAGUCGAACGAAGAGCGAUGGAAGCUUGCUUCUAUCAAUCUUAGUGGCGAACGGGUGAGUAACGCGUAAUCAACCUGCCCUUCAGAGGGGGACAACAGUUGGAAACGACUGCUAAUACCGCAUACGAUCUAAUCUCGGCAUCGAGGAUAGAUGAAAGGUGGCCUCUACAUGUAAGCUAUCACUGAAGGAGGGGAUUGCGUCUGAUUAGCUAGUUGGAGGGGUAACGGCCCACCAAGGCGAUGAUCAGUAGCCGGUCUGAGAGGAUGAACGGCCACAUUGGGACUGAGACACGGCCCAGACUCCUACGGGAGGCAGCAGUGGGGAAUCUUCCGAAAUGGACGAAAGUCUGACGGAGCAACGCCGCGUGAGUGAUGACGGCCUUCGGGUUGUAAAGCUCUGUUAAUCGGGACGAAAGGCCUUCUUGCGAACAGUUAGAAGGAUUGACGGUACCGGAAGAGAAAGCCACGGCUAACUACGUG
RNAcentral lists this ribosomal RNA (510 nucleotides) under uncultured bacterium. RNAcentral's name for it is "partial 16S ribosomal RNA". It matches the Rfam family "Bacterial small subunit ribosomal RNA", at positions 28 to 507 of the family's 1533-position model. The record is from RNAcentral.